RNAcentral lists this unclassified non-coding RNA (501 nucleotides) under uncultured Glomus. Its description in RNAcentral is "SSU rRNA". It matches the Rfam family "Eukaryotic small subunit ribosomal RNA", at positions 591 to 1092 of the family's 1831-position model. Lineage: Eukaryota; Fungi; Glomeromycota; Glomeromycetes; Glomerales; Glomeraceae. The record is from RNAcentral.
CCAAUAGCGUAUAUUAAAGUUGUUGCAGUUAAAAAGCUCGUAGUUGAAUUUCGGGAUCAAUACGUCGGUCGUGCUUUCGGGUACGUACUGGCGUCAUUGGUUUCUCCUUUCUGACGAACCAUGAUGUCAUUAAUUUGGUGUUAUGGGGAGUUAGGACUGUUACUUUGAAAAAAUUAGAGUGUUUAAAGCAGGCAUUAGCUUGAAUACAUUAGCAUGGAAUAAUGAAAUAGGACGUUCGAUCCUAUUUUGUUGGUUUCUAGGAUCAACGUAAUGAUUAAUAGGGAUAGUUGGGGGCAUUAGUAUUCAAUUGUCAGAGGUGAAAUUCUUGGAUUUAUUGAAGACUAACUACUGCGAAAGCAUUUGCCAAGGAUGUUUUCAUUAAUCAAGAACGAAAGUUAGGGGAUCGAAGACGAUCAGAUACCGUCGUAGUCUUAUCCAUAAACUAUGCCGACUAGGGAUCGGAUGAUGUUAAUUUUUUAAUGACUCGUUUGGCACCUUACG